CAGGAAGGCACAUACACCUACUAUCUGUCCAUACCAGAGCAGAAACGUAACACACUGACGUUGAGGUGAUGGUGGAGUAAAAGUACAAGCAGAAGAUUUUGUUCCAACUUCCCCAUAGAUGCAGUUCACAUGAUUAUUUUAUGAUUCAGAAAUAAACAUUCCUACAGACACAUCAUGAGAGAUCGGUGGUGACCGGGAAGGGAAAGGAGGACUUGGACAUGGGAAUGAGACGUCCAUUAAACUCUUGCCAUAUGUGAAGCACCAUAGAGAGAAAAUACUGGCCACAUCUC
Molecule: long non-coding RNA, 290 nt
Filed under: Callithrix jacchus (white-tufted-ear marmoset)
Lineage: Eukaryota; Metazoa; Chordata; Mammalia; Primates; Cebidae
Description: lncRNA (ENSCJAG00000081843.1)
Source: RNAcentral